Molecule: ribosomal RNA, 273 nt
Filed under: uncultured bacterium
Lineage: Bacteria
Description: partial 16S ribosomal RNA
Rfam family: Bacterial small subunit ribosomal RNA
Source: RNAcentral
UACGUAGGUGGCAAGCGUUAUCCGGAAUUACUGGGCGUAAAGCGCACGCAGGCGGUUUCUUAAGUUUGACGUGAAAGCUCCUGGCUUAACUGGGAGAGGUCGUUGAAGACUGGGGAACUUGAGGCAAUGAGAGGGAUGUAGAAUUCACGGUGUAGUGGUGGAAUGCGUAGAUAUCGUGAGGAAUACCAGUGGCGAAAGCGGCAUCCUGGCAUUAGCCUGACGCUCAUGUGCGAAAGCGUGGGGAGCGAACGGGAUUAGAAACCCCCGUAGUCC